Molecule: ribosomal RNA, 1585 nt
Filed under: Drosophila sechellia
Lineage: Eukaryota; Metazoa; Arthropoda; Insecta; Diptera; Drosophilidae
Description: eukaryotic LSU rRNA
Rfam family: Eukaryotic large subunit ribosomal RNA
Source: RNAcentral
GGACACGCAAACUUCUCAACAGGCCGUACCAAUAUCCGCAGCUGGUCUCCAAGGUGAAGAGUCUCUAGUCGAUAGAAUAAUGUAGGUAAGGGAAGUCGGCAAAUUAGAUCCGUAACUUCGGGAUAAGGAUUGGCUCUGAAGAUUGAGAUAGUCGGGCUUGAUUGGGAAACAAUAACAUGGUUUAUGUGCUCGUUCUGGGUAAAUAGAGUUUCUAGCAUUUAUGUUAGUUACUUGUUCCCCGGAUAGUUUAGUUACGUAGCCAAUUGUGGAACUUUCUUGCUAAAAUUUUUAAGAAUACUAUUUGGGUUAAACCAAUUAGUUCUUAUCAAUUAUAACGAUUAUCAAUUAACAAUCAAUUCAGAACUGGCACGGACUUGGGGAAUCCGACUGUCUAAUUAAAACAAAGCAUUGUGAUGGCCCUAGCGGGUGUUGACACAAUGUGAUUUCUGCCCAGUGCUCUGAAUGUCAAAGUGAAGAAAUUCAAGUAAGCGCGGGUCAACGGCGGGAGUAACUAUGACUCUCUUAAGGUAGCCAAAUGCCUCGUCAUCUAAUUAGUGACGCGCAUGAAUGGAUUAACGAGAUUCCUACUGUCCCUAUCUACUAUCUAGCGAAACCACAGCCAAGGGAACGGGCUUGGAAUAAUUAGCGGGGAAAGAAGACCCUUUUGAGCUUGACUCUAAUCUGGCAGUGUAAGGAGACAUAAGAGGUGUAGAAUAAGUGGGAGAUAUUAGACCUCGGUUUGGUAUCGUCAAUGAAAUACCACUACUCUUAUUGUUUCCUUACUUACUUGAUUAAAUGGAACGUGUAUCAUUUCCUAGCCAUUAUACGGAUAUAUUUAUUAUAUCUUAUGGUAUUGGGUUUUGAUGCAAGCUUCUUGAUCAAGUAUCACGAGUUUGUUAUAUAAUCGCAAACAAAUUCUUUAAUAAAACGAUGCAUUUAUGUAUUUUUGAUUUGAAAAUUUGGUAUAACUCCCAUUACUCAGGUAUGAUCCCAAUUCAACGGACAUUGCCAGGUAGGGAGUUUGACUGGGGCGGUACAUCUCUCAAAUAAUAACGGAGGUGUCCCAAGGCCAGCUCAUUGCGGACAGAAACCACACAUAGAGCAAAAGGGCAAAUGCUGACUUGAUCUCGGUGUUCAGUACACACAGGGACAGCAAAAGCUCGGCCUAUCGAUCCUUUUGGUUUAAAGAGUUUUUAACAAGAGGUGUCAGAAAAGUUACCAUAGGGAUAACUGGCUUGUGGCGGCCAAGCGUUCAUAGCGACGUCGCUUUUUGAUCCUUCGAUGUCGGCUCUUCCUAUCAUUGUGAAGCAAAAUUCACCAAGCGUUGGAUUGUUCACCCAUGCAAGGGAACGUGAGCUGGGUUUAGACCGUCGUGAGACAGGUUAGUUUUACCCUACUAAUGACAAAACGUUGUUGCGACAGCAUUCCUGCGUAGUACGAGAGGAACCGCAGGUACGGACCAAUGGCACAAUACUUGUUCGAGCGAACAGUGGUAUGACGCUACGUCCGUUGGAUUAUGCCUGAACGCCUCUAAGGUCGUAUCCGUGCUGGACUGCAAUGAUAAAUAAGGGGCAAUUUGCAUUGU